RNAcentral lists this ribosomal RNA (523 nucleotides) under uncultured microeukaryote. Its description in RNAcentral is "bacterial SSU rRNA". It matches the Rfam family "Eukaryotic small subunit ribosomal RNA", at positions 28 to 549 of the family's 1831-position model. The record is from RNAcentral.
UUUUAGAGGCUUGUCUCAAAGAUUAAGCCAUGCAUGUCCAAGUAUAAACACUUUAUACAGCGAAACUGCGUACAGCUUAUUACAUCAGUUAUUAUUCAUUUGAAGGUGGAUUUCUACAUGGAUACCCGUAGUAAUUCUAGAGCUAAUACAUGCGUAAAGGUCCGACUUUUUGGAAGGACUGUGUUUAUUAGAUUCAGACCCAUUCCUCGCAAGAGGAUUGUUGGUGAUUCAUGGUAACCGUUCGAAUCGACCGCAAGGUCGAUGGUUCAUUCAAAUUUCUGCCCUAUCAGCUUUUGAUUGUAGUGUAGUGGACUACAAUGGCAUUAACGGGUAACAGGGAAUUAGGGUUCGAUUCUGAAGAUGGAGCCUGAGAAAUGGCUACAACAUCCAAGGAAGGCAGCAGGCGCGCAAAUUACCCAAUCCUGACCCAGGGAGGUAGUGACAAGAAAUGGUGAUGCCGAGAGGGUUUUCCUUUUUGGUAAUCGCAAUGAGAGGUAGUUAAAUCUAGCUAUCGAAAGCAACU